UGGGGAAUUUUGGACAAUGGGCGAAAGCCUGAUCCAGCAAUGCCGCGUGUGUGAAGAAGGCCUUCGGGUUGUAAAGCACUUUUGUCCGGAAAGAAAUCCUUGGCUCUAAUACAGUCGGGGGAUGACGGUACCGGAAGAAUAAGCACCGGCUAACUACGUGCCAGCAGCCGCGGCAAUACGUAGGGUGCAAGCGUUAAUCGGAAUUACUGGGCGUAAAGCGUGCGCAGGCGGUUUGCUAAGACCGAUGUGAAAUCCCCGGGCUCAACCUGGGAACUGCAUUGGUGACUGGCAGGCUAGAGUAUGGCAGAGGGGGGUAGAAUUCCACGUGUAGCAGUGAAAUGCGUAGAGAUGUGGAGGAAUACCGAUGGCGAAGGCAGCCCCCUGGGCCAAUACUGACGCUCAUGCACGAAAGCGUGGGGAGCAAACAGGAUUAGAUACCCUGGUAGUCCACGCCCUAAACGAUGUCAACUAGUUGUUGGGGAUUCAUUUCCUUAGUAACGUAGCUAACGCGUGAAGUUGACCGCCUGGGGAGUACGGUCGCAAGAUUAAAACUUAAAUGAAUUGACGGGGUCAUAGCUGUUUCCU
This 585-nucleotide ribosomal RNA is filed under the name uncultured bacterium. RNAcentral's name for it is "partial 16S ribosomal RNA". It matches the Rfam family "Bacterial small subunit ribosomal RNA", at positions 355 to 1375 of the family's 1533-position model. The record is from RNAcentral.